ACAUACACAAUAGAUUCCAACCAUUUUACAAGCCAACGUACUGCCUUUAAACACUCAUUCCACCAUUACAAACACAACCUUAGGCUAAUAACGUAAAUAAGCAAGCAUUCAUGAAGCAAAGCUAAAUUACUACAUAAUUAAAUGAGUUUAACAACAUAAAAGACAUUUGAUAAACAACAUGUCCUGAAACUUCCACCGGAUCAUGUAACUUCAGAUUUCCAACUUUUACACAUAUAGAGGGCUAGAAAGUACCUGGAUAUUACAAAAGGAAUAAGAGGUGAAAGCAAUGAAUAGCAAAAGCAGGCCAGCAAUGUGAUAAUAUUAGCAAAAAUCAAUUCCACCCAGCAAAAGAAUUGUAAGCCACAACCAAACUCAAGUAAAAAAACUCUUCAACCAACAUAUUCAGUCCAUGUUUGAAAUCCAACCUAAUAAAAUGAAAAAUCCCUUUCAAAUCCCAGAGAAUCAACCCCAAUUUCUAAUUCAAACCAUUUUAAAACCCUAAAUGAAUCACAAGUUACUUCAGAGGUUGAAAAUUUCAGGAAUCAAAGAGGGAAAUUCAGUACAACAGUAUUUUUCUCUCAAAAUUCUAGUCAUAUCUAUUUUUUUUAUUUUCAGC
RNAcentral lists this long non-coding RNA (616 nucleotides) under Nicotiana benthamiana. RNAcentral describes it as "long non-coding RNA (NBEN_LNC029077)". Lineage: Eukaryota; Viridiplantae; Streptophyta; Magnoliopsida; Solanales; Solanaceae. The record is from RNAcentral.